GUGGGGAAUCUUAGACAAUGGGGGAAACCCUGAUCUAGCCAUGCCGCGUGAUCGAUGAAGGCCUUAGGGUUGUAAAGAUCUUUCAGGUGGGAAGAUAAUGACUGUACCACCAGAAGAAGCCCCGGCUAACUCCGUGCCAGCAGCCGCGGUAAUACGGAGGGGGCUAGCGUUGUUCGGAAUUACUGGGCGUAAAGCGCGCGUAGGCGGACCAGAAAGUUGGAGGUGAAAUCCCAGGGCUCAACCUUGGAACUGCCUUCAAAACUCCUGGUCUGGAGUUCGAGAGAGGUGAGUGGAAUUCCGAGUGUAGAGGUGAAAUUCGUAGAUAUUCGGAGGAACACCAGUGGCGAAGGCGGCUCACUGGCUCGAUACUGACGCUGAGGUGCGAAAGCGUGGGGAGCAAACAGGAUUAGAAACCCCAGUAGUCC
Molecule: ribosomal RNA, 425 nt
Filed under: uncultured bacterium
Lineage: Bacteria
Description: partial 16S ribosomal RNA
Rfam family: Bacterial small subunit ribosomal RNA
Source: RNAcentral